CCCAGGAACAUGAGACUCAUAAUGUUAUCUCCGUGGCACAAGCUGCUGAGGAGUAUAAGGAUCAAAUUUUAAGUUGCAUUGAGAGUCUAAGGAAGGAGAAAGAAGUGAUUAGGGAGCAUCUCUCAGACACAUAUAAACAAAGUCAAGACCUGAUUCAACUAGUUGGAGCGGAGGAAAAGAAAGUGGUGGAUGGAUUCAAUCAUCUGCGUCAACUUGUAUUAGAACAAAGCACCUUUUGGCUUACUAAGGUUGAAGAAGUAAAGAUGG
Molecule: non-coding RNA, 267 nt
Organism: Notechis scutatus (mainland tiger snake)
Lineage: Eukaryota; Metazoa; Chordata; Lepidosauria; Squamata; Elapidae
Source: RefSeq, a predicted model, not a curated record